UGAUGAUGAGGAGGAUAAUUUCUGAGCAUACCUUUGAAUCUCUCCCAAGCUUGGUAGAGAUUUUCUCCAUUUUUCUGUCUAAAACUCAAGAGUUCACUCCUCAAUUG
Non-coding RNA from Capsicum annuum, 107 nucleotides. The record is from Rfam. NCBI's taxonomy places the organism in Eukaryota, Viridiplantae, Streptophyta, Magnoliopsida, Solanales, Solanaceae.